Molecule: long non-coding RNA, 11933 nt
Filed under: Oryza sativa (Asian cultivated rice)
Lineage: Eukaryota; Viridiplantae; Streptophyta; Magnoliopsida; Poales; Poaceae
Description: long non-coding RNA (OSAT_LNC001684)
Rfam family: MIR812 microRNA precursor family (bases 2056-2252)
Source: RNAcentral
AGAAGUUCCAGAAUACUGGUCGGGCUGCUCACAACAGCUACUUGGAAUACUCAAGUUCAAGAUGGAAAUUGGCACACUCCAAGGGAUUCAGCCAACAUAAUUUGAUAAAAAAAGACGUUAUAAGUAUGAAUAAGAAGCUGGCAUAUACUUCGGCUAGUAGCAUUGCAACGCAAACAGUAUGACAAGGUACCACGCAUUGUUUAAGAGCUAAGACAAAGACAAAACUGAUGCAUCCAACGUACCAAAAAGAAAGCGAACAGCAGCAGUCAGAUAGCUAUGAGAAGAGAACUAGGAGAGGGAUAACUAGAAGGGACAGAAUGGCAUCCAUGGGUCCAUGACGUUUAGUCGACCUCCUCCAUCUUGCUCUCGCCGGCGUCGUCCUCCAGCGGCGGCAUGUCGGCGUCAGCCUCGGCGGACUCGUCCUCGUCGAUGCUCAGGCCGAGCUUGAGCAUGCGGUGGAUCCUGGUGCCGAAGGUGUUGGGGUCCUCCAAGCUGAAACCGGAGGUCAGCAGGGCAGUCUCGAAGAGCAGCAUCACCAGGUCCUUCACGGACUUGUCAUUCUUGUCCGCAUCGGCACGCUUGCGGAGCUCGUCCAUGAUGGCAUUCUCCGGGUUGAUCUCCAUGGUCUUCUUGCUAGACAUGUAGCCGGCCAUGCUGGAGUCCCUCAGAGCCUGGGCCUUCAUGAUCCUCUCCAUGUUAGCAGUCCAGCCAUACUCCCCAGUGACUAGACAGCAGGGAGAGUCCACCACACGGUCAGAGACAACAACCUUCUCCACCUUGUCACCGAGCACCUCCUUGAUCACCUUGCACAGACCCUCGAACUUCUCCUUGAGUUCCUCCUGCCGCUUCUUCUCGUCCUCACUCUCAUCAAGCUUCAGACCUUCCUUGGUGGCAGAGACGAGCUUCUUGCCUUCAAACUCCUUAAGCUGACCAACAGCGUACUCAUCAAUGGCAUCAACCAUGUACAGGACCUCAUAACCCUUCUUCUUCAGCUUCUCGAGGAAGGGGGAGUUCUCAACAGCCUUCUUGCUCUCACCAGUGAUGUAAUAGAUCUCACUCUGGCCCUCCUUCAUCCGGGUUACGUAGUCCUUGAGGCUGGUCAACUCAUCACCACUCUUGGUGGAGUGAUACCUCAGGAGCUCAGCAAUCUUGGUCCUGUUGGUGGAAUCCUCAUGGAUGCCAAGCUUGAGAUUCUUGGAGAAAGCCUCGUAGAACUUGUUGUAGUCUUCCUUGUUCUCAGCGAUCUCAAAGAAGAGCUCCACGCACUUCUUCACAAGGUUCUUGCGGAUCACCUUCAGGAUCUUGUUCUGCUGGAGCAUCUCACGUGAGAUGUUGAGGGGAAGGUCUUCAGAAUCAACAAUGCCCUUGACAAAGCUGAGCCACUCUGGGAUCAACUCCUCACAGUUGUCCAUGAUAAACACCCGGCGUACGUACAGCUUGAUGUUGUUUUGCUUCUUCCUGGUGUCAAAGAGGUCAAAUGGCGCUCUCUUUGGUACAAACAGGAUGGCCUUGAAUUCAAGCUGACCCUCCACAGAGAAGUGCUUGACAGCCAGAUGUUCCUCCCAGUCGUUUGUCAAGCUCUUGUAGAAAGCAGCGUACUCUUCCUUGGUGAUCUCCUCUGGCUUCCUCAACCAAAUGGGUUUCUGCUUGUUCAUCACGUUCCACUCGUGAGAGACUUCCUUGAUCUUCUUCUUUUUCUUCUCUUUCUCUUCCUUCUCCUCAUCAACAUCCUCAACCUUUCCCUCCUCAGCAUCCUUCUUCUCUUCCUCGUCUUCAUCAUCAGAAAUCUCCUUCUCAGUUGUCUUCUCAGUCCAUAGGGAGAUAGGGUAGCUGAUGAACUCAGAAUGCUUCUUCACCAGAUCCUUGAGGCGACGCUCCUCAAGGUAUUCCAGCUGCAAGCAAAAAUUGCAGUUGUUUAUUAAACAACAAACAGCAAGAGAACACAAGAGACAAGAAACAAAACAAACAAUACAAGUAUUUAUUUCAACAAGGUGUUAUGCUGCUAUGCAUUCUGAUAAGAACAUUGGGACAAACGAUAUACUCCCUCCGUUUCGAAAUGUUUGACGCCGUUGACUUUUUAGCACAUGUUUGACCGUUCGUCUUAUUCAAAAAAAUUAAGUAAUUAUUAAUUCUUUUCCUAUCAUUUGAUUCAUUGUUAAAUAUAUUUUUGUGUAGGCAUAUAAUUUUACAUAUCUCACAAAAGUUUUUGAAUAAGACGAACGGUCAAACAUGUGCUAAAAAAGUCAACGGUGUCAAACAUUUCAAAACGAAGGGAGUAUAUAAAUUGAUUAGCAGAAUACAACAACAAAGACAGACCAUAACUAUGUAACAAUGUUAGCAUACAAGGAAGUCAUAACUACAGCACAAAAGAACAGAGACAAGCUGAAAAGCAGUAAAUCUCAAAAUUCAUUUCAUGUUAAUGGAAAACAGUAAGAUGUAUACAACUAAAUCUCAAAAUUCAUUUCAUAUUAAUGGAAAACAGUAAGAUGUAUACAACAGCAAAUAUGCAUUGUUACAACUAAUACUAUUGCUUCAUUAAGUGAUUACUACCGAGGAAACCCAGAUCACUAGUUCAGAAUUACAGUUUAGCGGCAUUGUUAAUUUUUAGUCAAUAUAACCAAGAGAGCAAGAUACCACUAUUCCAAAAACUGCUGUACACCCCUAAUCUAUACAGUUCAUUUAUUGUAGCAUACAAGGAAGUCACAACUACAGCACAAAAGAACAGAAAGACAAGCUGAAAGCAGUAAAUCUCAAAAUUCAUUUCAUGUUAACGGAAAACAGUAAGAUGUAUACUACACCAAAUAUAUAUUGUUACAACUAAUACUAUUGUUUAAUUAAGUGAUUACUACCAAAGAAACCCAUAUCACUAGUUCAGAAUUACGGUUUAUCAGCAAUGUUGAUUUUCAGUAAAUGUAACCAAGAGAACAAGAUACCACUAUUCCAAAAACUGCUGUACACCCCUAAUCUAUACAGUUCAUUUAUUGUACUACAAAAUGAGCACCAUGUCAUCAAGACAACCUCUUAUUAAAGUAGCAAGAAUAUUUCUUCAGAACAUGCUAACAGUCAAGAAAGAUCAUGUACACUGGUAGCAUGCCAACUCAACCAUACAGGCCCGAACUCAUCCAAUUGUCAUAUGUACAGAACAUCUAAAGUUCUGACAAAAAAAACAUCACAUGGACAGCAACAUAUAUCACACAAGUAAUAGGAAUUCACAAGAGAAAUGUGCUGAAUCUUAUACCUGAUCAUCCUUGAGGUAGAGGGUGAUCUUAGUACCCCGUCCAAGCUGCUCACCAGAGGUAUCACGUGUAACAGUGAAGGACCCACCGGCCUGUGACUCCCACACAUACUGCUCGUCGUCGUUGUGCUUGGUGGUCACAACAACCCUCUCAGCAACAAGGUAGGCGGAGUAGAACCCGACACCAAACUGCCCAAUCAUGGACACAUCAGCACCAGCAGCGAGCGCCUCCAUGAACUCCUUGGUCCCCGACCUGGCGAUGGUACCGAGGUUGUUGACGAGGUCCGACUUGGUCAUGCCGACACCACUGUCGAUGAUCGACAGGGUGUUGCUAGCCUUGUCGGGGACAAUGUGGAUGAACAGCUCCGGCUGCGCAUCGAGCUUGCUCUUGUCCGUGAGGCUCUCGAACCUAAUCUUAUCCAAUGCCUGCAGAAACCACACACACCCAUGUCACAUCGAAUUCAUCACCCAAACACACAGAUCUGUAAAAGCAUCAGCACACUACCACACUAUACAGAUUACACGCACGGGUAAACACACAACCCUCGCUGAUUUGUAACAAGUUUAUGCUAGUGCUCAGAUGUGGCCAUAUUCACAUUUCGAUGAGUAAAACAAACAAAUAAACUAGCACAAACUCUACAAAUCACGAGUCAACGCUCACACCUCAUUGAUUUGAAACAGGUCUACGCCCUAUCAGUAUAUGAUCCUCAGAUGCCGUCACGCUCACAGAUCGACGCGUACAACAACAGCAAAGAGCACAUAAGCAAGCACCGAUUUCGAUUCCUCGACGAGAGGGGAUUAAUUUCGGGGGCGGCGCAAACUUACAUCGGAGGAGUUGGAGAUGAGCUCGCGGAGGAAGAUCUCCUUGUUGGAGUAGAAGGUGUUGAUGAUGAGGGACAGCAGCUGGUUGAUCUCGGCCUGGAAGGCGAACGUCUCGGUCUCCGACGCCAUGGCCGCGCGCCUUGCGUGCUCCUGAUCUCUCGCCGGCGGGAAGAGGAGCUCGCGGGCGGAGGAGACGACGCGCGGCUGCGGCUGCGGCUGCGGCGGCGGCUAGGGUUAGGAGAGGGUUUUGAGAGGGCGAGAUCGUGGGGGUGGGAGAUGCUUUUAUGCGGUCCUCGUUGUUCUCGAACCUUCUACGUGGGCCUAGAAGCCGGCGAGGCCGCAGCGCGUGUUGACUAGUCGUUGCGGGUGGGCCAGGCCGGACCGGCAGUGAGAUUUUGCGCGUGAUUAGGUGUAGUGGGCGUAUAGAAGGCCAUAAAAUUCUGAAGAAAAUGAGGCCCAUAAAGCCCAUGAAGACAAGCGAGGGUCCAGUGGCCCGUAAAGCCCAUGAAAACAAACUAGGAUCAAGUCGCCAAUGAAGUCUAUGAAAACAAGCUAUGAAGCGCAUUCAAGACAGUAGAGGGUCCAGUCGCCGGCGAAGCCCAUGGAAAGAAAGGGAGGGUCAAGAGGAGAGAUUUGAUAAUUUAACCCUUUUCAAAAUGGGUUUCGAUUAUUAGAUUCUAAACCACUUUAAUCCACUCAGAUAGUCCCACGUGAAGUUGGAGAUGGAUAUUUGCAAAUAAACCCCUUCUACUAUUAUAGGCAUGUUCAGAUUGUAGCCAAAAUAAACCUUACCAAGUUUUGGCAAUACCAAAAUUUUAACAAGAUGGCAAUAUUGCCAACAUUUUGGCAGGAUUUCUUAUGUAUUGACCAAAUUUGGUAACAAACUAAACGUAUAUAUUUUUUGGCAACUUUGACAAAAAAAAUGGUAUGGUUGAAAAUGGCAUCAAAAUGAACAGGCCCUAUGUGUUCAAGAGUAUUAGUUGGAUACUUCCGGCCUCAUCGGUUACUCAUAUUUUCUAAUAAGCCAUUUUGGUUCAUUAGAUAAUAAAAAACUAAUUUAUUGGUAAAACUUUUUAUACAUGUGUUCUUAACGAUUUAAAAGUCGAUGCUGAAAAAAAAACUAUGUUGAAAAAAAUCUUUAAAUCAACUUCAAAAUUAAGUUUAAAAAUUCAAAUUUUAUCUUUUGCUUUGGCUUAUUAAGGCAACCGAUGGGGCUCUUCUUCUUUCUGUACAGAAAACAAUAUAGUUCAUUAGCACAUGAUUAAAUAUUAGUAAAAGAAUAAAAAUAGAUUAAUAUGAUUUUAAAAAUUCAACUUUUCUAUAGUAAAUUUUUUUAAGAAAAACACAAUGUUUAGUUGUUGAAGAAAUAUGCAUGAAAAACAAGGGAGUAAAAAGUGGAAAAGUGGUGUUUCUACCCUUCAACCAGAUGCAGCCAUGCAGGUCAUCUGCAAUAUUGUACAUGCAAUAUUGCUCACUGACAUGUGAACCCCAUAGCCUCUCGGGCUCACAUGUAAGUGAGCAGUACUGCUCAAUUGUCCUUCAACCAUCCUGUGGUCAGCACCACAAAUGGACGGAACGAGAGAUCGUGCGGUUGCACAUGAUUUAACGCCUUAAUUAACUACUCCAAGAUAUUAACCGCACUAAUGUCCUGCACCUGUGUUUGACUCGAGAGGGUAAUUAGCGUGGACGUCACUAAUGAUGGUCGUCGUCUACUCGUCUUUCGUACUCAGUGCGAUCGAUGAAGUGACAGUAAAUGUUAGCUAGCCAUGCACUUUGUACAGUUUCUUCGCCCAUUUCUGCACGCGGCUGACUGACCAGAUGCAAUGCACUUGUACACGUUUGGUAGGCCGUCUUCGAUCCAUUCCCGGUUAAUCAAAUGAUAUAUGUAAUUAUGUAUAUCUUCUCUUGUAUAUAUGCAGCAUGCUAGUAUAAUGUUAGGUACAGUUCUUUUGGGUUAUUUUUUUUAUCUCGAUUUUGUCAUGGCAACUACGAGCAAACGCUGCUUUUCCUGCUUGUCCUACGAGCCUGAACAAACGGCAGGAUGUUGCACAAAGUGACAGUCCUUGUUAGGUUUCUGCUCUUCUGCACUGCACUAUCCAUUUGCAAAUAUUUUGCAUGGAAGCUAGCAGAAAAUGCUAUGUGUUGUUCAUGAGUCUAAUCAAAGUUAAUUAAUCAAAUCUGAUGCUGUCUAAGGAGCAUAUUGGAAUGCAUCAAUCAUAUGAGUGUGUGUAACUUAUUGGUGCCCUUUGUGUGCCAAUGUCUCAUCCUCUGUCAUGUUCUCAAUGUAUCAACGCUGUAACUUCUCAAGAAUCAAUGUUUAUGUACUACUACUACAACUACAUAGUUUAACUAACUCCUAACCAGGGCUAAACUGAACCAACUAAACAAUUACGGAGUAUUACUGAACAACAAGAACAGCGCUUAAUUAGCAAUGCGCGUUUCGUUUCAUCUCACGCAGCAAUGACACACGCUUGCAACGCACCAGCUGUGUUUGUGAUCACUUUGUCAGUGCAUCAGCAAAUCGAGCACUGCAUGCAUACGCAUUUCCUGCUUUCUGGCGUGGUGGAGGCAGGAAAGCAACCUCCAACAUAUCAGCAUUCACCACCCAAUAUAUUACACAAUUUGUGACACAGGUCGGUCUCUCUGCCUGCCUUUCGGAACGGGAAGAGGUGUCAUUUUCCUAUGCCCAUUUCGAUCGUAGCCAAAUUGAUCUAGAUUUGAAAUAAAUUAUAUAUAUAUAUAUAUAUAUAUAUAUAUAUAUAUAUAUGGCAACGUAAUCCUUCUGUUUUAAAAUAUAAGCAUUUCGCAUUCAGGUUCCAAUGGGCAAGAAUUCAAGCAUUCUAAUCAAUCAGGUGCUUAUACGGUGAAUCCAGACAAUUCGAAAUUUGACCGGAAUUCUUUUUUCUUAUCCUUUAUCUUUGCUAAACAUCAUAGGAACAUUUACAUUUAGAGCGAUGCUGGGGAUCCACUUAAUUUAAGUGGCUCCGACUUGACGUACGACUGAUCUAAACGGCAAUUUACGCUCAGUCUGUGUUUAGUUCCACACUAAAAUUAGAAGUUUAAAAAAAUAGGAAUGAUGUGAUGGAAAAGUUGAAAAUUUGCGUACGUAGGAAAGUUCGAUGUGAUAAAAAAAUUAGAAGUUUGAAAAAAAAGUUGAAAUCUAAACAGGGCCUCCGUAGUGCGCGUGUUCGUGCUCGUGCAAUCAAGUUGGAUCGAGUUGGGAGUUGGAGUUGACAGUUCGUCACUAGCUCGAUCGCUAGUCGUCGCCGUGUGUGUAAUGCCAUGGUGCUCCUUGAUCGGACGCCGGCUAGUAGCUAGCCAGCAGCGUGUGUGGCGAACAACCUAAUCUUUUUCCUUCGCACGGGCGGCCGGCUGACGGCGACGAGCCGCCGACGACGAGGAGGACGACUUUGACGCCCGCGUGUGGUGUGGACCAGGGCACCAACAGCAGUGGUGGUUUAUGCGUUGCCAACUACUGACGAGAUGCUAUAUAAGCAGCAGCAAUGGCCAUCGCUUCAGCUGCACGGACAAAUUAAGCGAGGGAGUGAGAGCUAGCUAACUCAGGCUCAGCCAACUGAUCGCGAGCUGUGACGAGGUGAUCACCAUGGCGUCCUCGUCGUCGCUUCUUGUUCGUGGGAGAGCGUUCGCGCUGGUUGUGGCUGUAGCUCUGGUGGCUGCUCCUCGCCGGAUUAAUGGCGGCGCCGCCGGGCCGGCGGCGAGGACGAACGACCCCAACUGGCACGUCUUCAGCGUCAGCUCGCUGCUGCCGAGCUCGGCCUGCACUGCAUCGAAAGGUAGUGUCAGUUUUGCAGCCUGUCUCCUUUCGCAACUGUAUCUGAAACUGAAGCAGUUACUGCGGAAAAAUAAUGUAACCUGGUCGGCCAUUAACCAUCUCGAUCGAACUUGCUUUAUAUAAAUCUCGUCCAUUUGAUCAAACUGAGGAAUUGAAAAACCCAAUAAGAAAUCUGUUAGGCCAAUUUGGAGUAUGGUUAGUCUGUAUCCUGCAAACAAGUAUUGUGACUGAAGUAGCAUCUGCAUUAUUCUGAAAUUUUAGUACCACUGAAACUCAGCUACCGUGAUAGCAUAUGCAGCAUAUAUCGAAUUUAUAAGAUAUUCUAAGGGAAACAUAAUAUGUUUUACAGUAGUAUUGAUCAGAAUUACAUCAGGUAAUCUGUUGCUGAUUGAUGCGAGUAAACUUUUGGCAUGCUGAUGACUGAUCACUACACAAAAUUUUCAGUGCAGUAAAAAGCUUUGGGGCGGUUCAGAUUAAAGCCAUUUUUAACCAUACCAUUUUUUUUAAGUUGUCAAAAAAUAUAUACGUUUAGUUUAUUGCCAAAUAUGAUAAAUAAAUAAAUAAUCCUACUAAAAUUUUAGCAAUACUACCAUCUUACCAUCUUGCCAAAAUUUGGUAAGAUUUAUUUUAGCUACAAUCUGAACAUUCCCUUUCUUUGCUUCGAGUUGCAUUUGCACAAAUUGCAUUUCUCAUUUUCCCAUUCUGUUUUUCUUGCAGCGGCGUCCAACUCGUCGGCUCUCGGCGUCGUGCACCGGCACGGGCCGUGCUCGCCGGUGCAGGCUCGUCCUCGCGGCGGCGGCGGCGCUGUCACCCACGCCGAGAUCCUGGAACGCGACCAGGCCAGGGUCGACUCCAUCCACCGCAAGGUCGCCGGCGCCGGGGGCGCGCCGUCGGUGGUCGACCCGGCACGCGCCUCGGAGCAGGGCGUGUCGCUGCCGGCGCAGAGGGGCAUCUCCCUCGGCACCGGCAACUACGUCGUGUCCGUCGGGCUCGGGACGCCGGCGAAGCAGUACGCCGUGAUCUUCGACACCGGCAGCGACCUGUCGUGGGUGCAGUGCAAGCCCUGCGCCGACUGCUACGAGCAGCAGGACCCGCUGUUCGACCCGUCGCUGUCGUCGACGUACGCCGCCGUGGCGUGCGGCGCGCCGGAGUGCCAGGAGCUCGACGCGUCGGGCUGCUCGUCGGACAGCAGGUGCCGGUACGAGGUCCAGUACGGCGACCAGUCGCAGACCGACGGCAACCUCGUGCGCGACACGCUGACGCUCUCGGCGUCGGACACGCUCCCGGGCUUCGUCUUCGGGUGCGGCGACCAGAACGCCGGGCUGUUCGGCCAGGUCGACGGGCUGUUCGGCCUCGGCAGGGAGAAGGUGUCGCUGCCGUCGCAGGGCGCGCCGAGCUACGGCCCCGGAUUCACCUACUGCCUACCGUCGUCGUCGAGCGGCAGGGGCUACCUGUCCCUCGGCGGCGCCCCGCCGGCGAACGCGCAGUUCACGGCGCUGGCCGACGGCGCGACGCCGUCGUUCUACUACAUCGACCUCGUCGGCAUCAAGGUCGGCGGCCGCGCGAUCAGGAUCCCGGCGACGGCGUUCGCGGCGGCCGGCGGCACGGUGAUCGACUCCGGCACGGUGAUCACCCGCCUCCCGCCGCGCGCGUACGCGCCGCUCCGCGCGGCGUUCGCGCGCUCCAUGGCGCAGUACAAGAAGGCGCCCGCGCUGUCCAUCCUCGACACGUGCUACGACUUCACCGGCCACCGGACGGCGCAGAUACCCACGGUGGAGCUGGCGUUCGCCGGCGGCGCCACCGUCAGCCUCGACUUCACCGGCGUGCUCUACGUCUCCAAGGUGUCGCAGGCGUGCCUGGCGUUCGCGCCCAACGCCGACGACUCGUCCAUCGCCAUCCUCGGGAACACGCAGCAGAAGACGUUCGCCGUCGCGUACGACGUUGCCAACCAGAGGAUCGGCUUCGGCGCCAAGGGAUGCAGCUGAUUACAAUCCGAGAUGAUGAAUCAAUCGAUCAUUUUGUUUUGUUACAGUGACAUAUAUAUGGGGAAAAAAUAGUGAAAAAAAACUGCAAUAAAUAAGCAUCAUCGAUAGUGACAUGGAAGAAGUUGAAAACCGUUAAAAAUAUUUUUGAUGCAAACCAGUUCGGGCUAGUAACAGUAUUACAGUGUGCCUGAUAGUAGCACAUUUCAGGCUUUAUUUAAUUAUUUUUUUAUCACUCUCUGGACACUGAACAGUGAACACUAUACUACCACAAGAGGCAGCAGCUCACACAGUGAAAACCGAAAAGAUGUUACGGUGGUUUAUGGUACGAGUGUAAGUGGCGUGAAAUCCACUUGUAGGCUAAAAUAAACCGCAAAUCCACUUAUAAAUUAAAAUAAGUGGGUUCGCGGCUCACCGACCAACACCCAUAGUCUACCCACUUACACCGUCUAUGGCACGCCAUGGUGAUUGAUGGCGUCGGUGGCGGUGUCAACGCGGCCGGUGCCGGCGGCGGCAGCGGCGGUGUCGCCUUGUUGGUGGCGGCGCUGUGUGGCGACGGGGACGGCGGUGCCGGGGAUGGUGGGGGCGUCGGUGCCGCAGCCGCCGUGGGGGACGUCGGAGACGGGGAGGUGGCCGCGGGCGCCGUAGGCGCGCAGCUUGUAGUCCUCCAGGCCGUCGUCCUUCUUGUACUGCACGUACGGGCUGGUGUCCAUCGGCAGCUGCACCGUGUCGCCGGCGUCCGGCUUCCUCUGCUGCUGCUGCUGCUGGGUCUCCUUGGUUGCCUCCAUUGCAAGUCCUCCGCUUGAUCUGCAGCAAGAGUGCAGCCUUGUUUCUCUGAAUGUGUACUUGACCUGGUAGUAUCCAACACUGUUUAUAAUGGAUGUUGCUUUUGGCCUACUACUAGUAGAAUCCAAGACUAGUUUUAUGUGUGUGGAUAGAGCUAGGGAUUCGGGUUUCAUGGCCACCUCGCCAUGGCAGUGCACCAGGUGUCAAGCAGAGGAAGUACUCACGACGGGCAAUCGACACGUACCUCUAACCUCUGCCUCCGAUCCGAUACAGAUGCACGUGAGCUCAGCCAGCAGAUCAGCCGACACGUACCUCACGAUGUCCUCACAACGCAAAAACGCAUAUGUGCUCCAUCUCUCAACCGGCGGAUCAGUUCGUCAGUUGGGUUUGUGCUAGAGCGGAGGGGCAGAAAUUACUGGUCCACUACUACUAAGUAGUACUCGAGGUCGACCAAAGAUGAUUGAAACAACGAAAAGAUGAUUGAAACGGAAACAGAAAGCUCUCGAGGUCGACCAAAGAUGAUUGAAACAACGAAAUUCCCUGCAGAUGGUUAAUUGAUCAAAGCAAGAAGACAUUCGAGGCAUUCUAUCUUGCAGGCAUCAACAGUGAACAAACAUUCCAUCACUCAUUCAAACUAAAUAGCCUUGUACUAACAAAUUGAAGUUCAAGAAUACUGCAGGCUAAAAAUGGUCCAUCAUUCCAUCAAUUUGCAGCAACCAGGCAUACUAAGCUUACCAUCCACUAUCUAGCCAUACAAUAACAGAUGGAAGAAGUUCCAGCAUACUGCGGGCAAACAAUGGUCCAUCAUUCCAUCAAUUUGCAGCAACCAGGCUUAUUAGGAAGAAGUUCCAGAAUACUGGUCGGGCUGCUCACAACAGCUACUUGGAAUACUCAAGUUCAAGAUGGAAAUUGGCACACUCCAAGGGAUUCAGCCAACAUAAUUUGAUAAAAAAAGACGUUAUAAGUAUGAAUAAGAAGCUGGCAUAUACUUCGGCUAGUAGCAUUGCAACGCAAACAGUAUGACAAGGUACCACGCAUUGUUUAAGAGCUAAGACAAAGACAAAACUGAUGCAUCCAACGUACCAAAAAGAAAGCGAACAGCAGCAGUCAGAUAGCUAUGAGAAGAGAACUAGGAGAGGGAUAACUAGAAGGGACAGAAUGGCAUCCAUGGGUCCAUGACGUUUAGUCGACCUCCUCCAUCUUGCUCUCGCCGGCGUCGUCCUCCAGCGGCGGCAUGUCGGCGUCAGCCUCGGCGGACUCGUCCUCGUCGAUGCUCAGGCCGAGCUUGAGCAUGCGGUGGAUCCUGGUGCCGAAG